This is a non-coding RNA of Globicephala melas (long-finned pilot whale), 805 nucleotides long. The record is from RefSeq and is a predicted model, not a curated record. NCBI's taxonomy places the organism in Eukaryota, Metazoa, Chordata, Mammalia, Artiodactyla, Delphinidae.
CCUCCCCUCGCGUCGCGAGUUCCAACCGGGCAGCGAGACCUGGCCGACUCAGGGUGCCAGAGUACUGGAGAGCUAAAAAUAUAACCGGUCACCGUUCUGGCCAAAUUGCAUCCUACUGGGAAACCUUACAAGACAGGAUGAGAAAGGCUGUGGGAGAGCGGAGUGAAUCCCUGGAAGGAAGGUGUUGAAUUUUUGCGCGUUUCUGUAUUUAUUCGAAUCUCCCCUGCAGUGCUGAAAACACACCAGCCUUGAGGAAUAUCACUGAAACAAAACUGAGAAAUCCAGCUUCCUUGAUCCACUCCUUCAACUGGGCAGGAGCAAAGACAGCCACAACAGAAAUUAGCUUUGGAGAAGAGUGAUUGGAUGGAUGCCAAGGGCAAAUGAUUUGCUAUGUACUGACCUGAUGUGAGUGAAUUCUAGUAAACAAGGCACAUCCCAUCGAAAGGACUUAUGAAAGGGGACUUCCCUGGUGGCGCAGUGGUUAAGAAUCCACCUGCCAAUGCAGGGGACACAGGUUCGAACCCAGGUCCGGGAAGAUCCCACAUGCCGCAGAGCAACUAAGCCUGUGUGCCACAACCACUGAGCCUGCGCUCUAGAGCCCGUGAGCCACAACUACUGAAGCCCGCGCACCUAGAGCCCGUGCUCCGCAACAAGAGAAGCCACCGCGAUGAGAAGCCCGCGCACUGCAGUGAAGAGUAGCCCCUGCUUGCCGCAACUAGAGAAAGCCUGCACGCAGCAACAAAGACCCAACGCAGCCAAAACUAAAUAAAUAAUAAAUUGGGUUAAAGAAAGAAAAAAGGACUUA